UCUGGGAAACUGCCUGAUGGAGGGGGAUAACUACUGGAAACGGUAGCUAAUACCGCAUAACGUCGCAAGACCAAAGAGGGGGACCUUCGGGCCUCUUGCCAUCGGAUGUGCCCAGAUGGGAUUAGCUAGUAGGUGGGGUAACGGCUCACCUAGGCGACGAUCCCUAGCUGGUCUGAGAGGAUGACCAGCCACACUGGAACUGAGACACGGUCCAGACUCCUACGGGAGGCAGCAGUGGGGAAUAUUGCACAAUGGGCGCAAGCCUGAUGCAGCCAUGCCGCGUGUAUGAAGAAGGCCUUCGGGUUGUAAAGUACUUUCAGCGGGGAGGAAGGGAGUAAAGU
RNAcentral lists this ribosomal RNA (341 nucleotides) under Escherichia coli. Its description in RNAcentral is "bacterial SSU rRNA". It matches the Rfam family "Bacterial small subunit ribosomal RNA", at positions 116 to 460 of the family's 1533-position model. The record is from RNAcentral. Lineage: Bacteria; Pseudomonadati; Pseudomonadota; Gammaproteobacteria; Enterobacterales; Enterobacteriaceae.